AGUGAACGCUGGCGGUAGGCCUAACACAUGCAAGUCGAACGGCAGCACAGUAAGAGCCUGCUCUUACGGGUGGCGAGUGGCGGACGGGUGAGGAAUACAUCGGAAUCUACUUUUUCGUGGGGGAUAACGUAGGGAAACUUACGCUAAUACCGCAUACGACCUACGGGUGAAAGCAGGGGAUCUUCGGACCUUGCGCGAUUGAAUGAGCCGAUGCCGGAUUAGCUAGUUGGCGGGGUAAAGGCCCACCAAGGCGACGAUCCGUAGCUGGUCUGAGAGGAUGAUCAGCCACACUGGAACUGAGACACGGUCCAGACUCCUACGGGAGGCAGCAGUGGGGAAUAUUGGACAAUGGGCGCAAGCCUGAUCCAGCCAUACCGCGUGGGUGAAGAAGGCCUUCGGGUUGUAAAGCCCUUUUGUUGGGAAAGAAAAGCGGCAGGUUAAUACCCCGCUGUUCUGACGGUACCCAAAGAAUAAGCACCGGCUAACUUCGUG
RNAcentral lists this ribosomal RNA (492 nucleotides) under uncultured bacterium. RNAcentral describes it as "partial 16S ribosomal RNA". It matches the Rfam family "Bacterial small subunit ribosomal RNA", at positions 29 to 507 of the family's 1533-position model. The record is from RNAcentral.